UACUGGACAAUGGGGGGAACCCUGAUCCAGCGACGCCGCGUGAGCGAAGAAGUAUUUCGGUAUGUAAAGCUCUAUCAGCAGGGAAGAANNAAUGACGGUACCUGAGUAAGAAGCCCCGGCUAACUACGUGCCAGCAGCCGCGGUAAUACGUAGGGGGCAAGCGUUAUCCGGAAUUACUGGGUGUAAAGGGAGCGUAGACGGUGAUGUAAGUCUGGAGUGAAAGGCGGGGGCCCAACCCCCGGACUGCUCUGGAAACUAUGUGACUGGAGUGCAGGAGAGGUGAGCGGAAUUCCUAGUGUAGCGGUGAAAUGCGUAGAUAUUAGGAGGAACACCGGUGGCGAAGGCGGCCUGCUGGACGACAACUGACGCUGAGGCUCGAAAGCGUGGGGAGCAAUCAGGA
RNAcentral lists this ribosomal RNA (400 nucleotides) under uncultured bacterium. RNAcentral describes it as "bacterial SSU rRNA". It matches the Rfam family "Bacterial small subunit ribosomal RNA", at positions 362 to 777 of the family's 1533-position model. The record is from RNAcentral.